AGGAAUAUUGGUCAAUGGACGCAAGUCUGAACCAGCCAUGCCGCGUGAAGGAUGAAGGUCCUCUGGAUUGUAAACUUCUUUUAUCUGGGACGAAAACGGGAUUUUUAUCUCAAUUGACGGUACCAGAGGAAUAAGCACCGGCUAACCCCGUGCCAGCAGCCGCGGUAAUACGGAGGGUGCGAGCGUUAUCCGGAUUUACUGGGUUUAAAGGGUGCGUAGGUGGGCUUAUAAGUCAGUGGUGAAAUCUCCGAGCUUAACUUGGAAACUGCCGUUGAUACUAUAUGUCUUGAAUAUUGUGGAGGUAAGCGGAAUAUGUCAUGUAGCGGUGAAAUGCAUAGAUAUGACAUAGAACACCGAUUGCGGAGGCAGCUUGCUACGCAAAUAUUGACGCUGAGGCACGAAAGCGUGGGGAUCAAACA
Molecule: ribosomal RNA, 419 nt
Filed under: uncultured bacterium
Lineage: Bacteria
Description: bacterial SSU rRNA
Rfam family: Bacterial small subunit ribosomal RNA
Source: RNAcentral